AAUCAACGCUGGCGGCGUGCCUCAGACAUGCAAGUCGAACGCGAAAUUUCCCUUCGGGGAGAAAGUAGAGUGGCGCACGGGUGAGUAACACGUAGGUAAUUUGCCUUUGGGUGGGGAAUAACUCAGGGAAACUUGAGCUAAUACCGCAUAAUGCAGCGGCUCGACAUCGAGACAGUUGUUAAAGCGGGGGAUUGGAGCAAUCCGACCUCGCGCCUAAAGAGAAGCCUGCGGCAGAUUAGCUAGUUGGUAAGGUAAUGGCUUACCAAGGCGACGAUCUGUAACCGGCCUGAGAGGGCGGUCGGUCACACUGACACUGACA
This 319-nucleotide ribosomal RNA is filed under the name uncultured bacterium. Its description in RNAcentral is "bacterial SSU rRNA". It matches the Rfam family "Bacterial small subunit ribosomal RNA", at positions 32 to 324 of the family's 1533-position model. The record is from RNAcentral.